Molecule: long non-coding RNA, 1170 nt
Organism: Haliotis rubra (blacklip abalone)
Lineage: Eukaryota; Metazoa; Mollusca; Gastropoda; Lepetellida; Haliotidae
Exons: 3
Source: RefSeq, a predicted model, not a curated record
UUGUAUAUUUUAACAUGUUGUAAAUUGAUUAGAAUUCAUGUAAAUAAAUGCUUUAAAUUUCAUUGCACAGCUUUAGUCAUUUUAUUUUAUCAUGAUACUUAGCCUGCCUUAACUAACUAUCACUCACAGCCAGUUCACUGAGCAUGCUUACCGCAUGUUCACCACACAGCACAAUAACAUAAGCCCUUCCCCACCUAGGUCCUUUUGUCUUUAUAGCCAGCUUGGACAAUCAGCUAAUCUUUACACUUUUACACAUUACAAGGUUUGUGGUCACUCCACAUUCAAUCUUCAGUGUGUCAACAUGUCUUGUUCAUUUUCUGGACAUACCUUAGGAUCAUAUCUUUGGAUCAUAUUCUAAGGCAAACAUUUAAUACAGAUACAGCAGCGUCCCCAGGUGUGAAAUAAACCUAGGCCCACACACCUGGGUUGUCGUUUUCACCUAUACCAUAUCUCCAAUAAAUCAUCGGCCAUUGAAGAACAACAAAAGUAGCGUCUGUUGUCUGUGCGUGACUGACGCAGUCCUGCUACAUUGGAGCCCCCAGUGAGGAAUGGCCUAACUGGAGAUUUGAGGGCGAGCUUGCUGUCAUCAACAUUCGAGAUCCUAUCCACAACCGCUCACGGAACCAUGACGUGAUCAACGGUAACAACGUGACGCGAGGUGCGUUUUGUCCUGUGAUAUAUACAACUUGUAUCUUGUUACCUGCAGAUAUAGAGACACUUGAGUGUAGGUUGAACUACACAUAUUAUACACUGUAUGUACAGAUCUGUACUGAUGUUAUACUUGACGUUUGCAAACGGCGGUUCAAGGAACCAUUAUUUAGACACGGAAUUCAUGUACACAUGUUCAUUAUUUAAUGCAAGUCAAUGUUUGAACAUGUUCUGAAUUUUUGCUUGUACAUUUUUCUGAAUAUCAUGUACCCGGGUUGUGCCUGCGUGCACAAUAUUUCUUGGCCAAUUUAGAUCUUGUUGCAUGCAUGUGUUGUGAAUACUUAGACUUAGAAUGAGCGCUCAUACACUUCAGUACUGACUUCCAUAAACGUAGCUGUUAUUUAGUGGGGUUUUAUACCUCAACCUCGGUGAUUGUGUGCGUGAAUGAGAAUACCCAACCUAUAUGAAUGUUUGAGUUCCAUGCAGUAAACCAAAUAAAGUGCAUUUAUGCAUUCAUGUAAA